Molecule: ribosomal RNA, 492 nt
Filed under: uncultured bacterium
Lineage: Bacteria
Description: partial 16S ribosomal RNA
Rfam family: Bacterial small subunit ribosomal RNA
Source: RNAcentral
AGUGAACGCUGGCGGUAGGCCUAACACAUGCAAGUCGAACGGCAGCACAGUAAGAGCUUGCUCUUACGGGUGGCGAGUGGCGGACGGGUGAGGAAUACAUCGGAAUCUACUUUUUCGUGGGGGAUAACGUAGGGAAACUUACGCUAAUACCGCAUACGACCUACGGGUGAAAGCAGGGGAUCUUCGGACCUUGCGCGAUUGUAUGAGCCGAUGUCGGAUUAGCUAGUUGGCGGGGUAAAGGCCCACCAAGGCGACGAUCCGUAGCUGGUCUGAGAGGAUGAUCAGCCACACUGGAACUGAGACACGGUCCAGACUCCUACGGGAGGCAGCAGUGGGGAAUAUUGGACAAUGGGCGCAAGCCUGAUCCAGCCAUACCGCGUGUGUGAAGAAGGCCUUCGGGUUGUAAAGCCCUUUUGUUGGGAAAGAAAAGCAGCAGGUUAAUACCCCGCUGUUCUGACGGUACCCAAAGAAUAAGCACCGGCUAACUUCGUG